UACGUAGGGCGCAAGCGUUGUCCGGAAUUACUGGGCGUAAAGAGCGCGUAGGUGGUUUGUCGCGUUGUUCGUGAAAACUCACAACUCAAUUGUGGGCGUGCGGGCGAUACGGGCAGACUGGAGUACUGCAGGGGAGACUGGAAUUCCUGGUGUAGCGGUGGAAUGCGCAGAUAUCAGGAGGAACACCGGUGGCGAAGGCGGGUCUCUGGGCAGUAACUGACGCUGAGGAGCGAAAGCGUGGGGAGCGAACAGG
This 253-nucleotide ribosomal RNA is filed under the name uncultured bacterium. RNAcentral describes it as "partial 16S ribosomal RNA". It matches the Rfam family "Bacterial small subunit ribosomal RNA", at positions 524 to 776 of the family's 1533-position model. The record is from RNAcentral.